UACGUAGGUGGCAAGCGUUGUCCGGAAUUAUUGGGCGUAAAGGGCUCGUAGGUGGCCAACUAAGUCAGACGUGAAAUCCCUCGGCUUAACCGGGGAACUGCGUCUGAUACUGGAUGGCUUGAGUUCGGGAGAGGGAUGCGGAAUUCCAGGUGUAGCGGUGAAAUGCGUAGAUAUCUGGAGGAACACCGGUGGCGAAGGCGGCAUCCUGGACCGAUACUGACACUGAGGAGCGAAAGCCAGGGGAGCAAACGGG
RNAcentral lists this ribosomal RNA (253 nucleotides) under uncultured bacterium. Its description in RNAcentral is "partial 16S ribosomal RNA". It matches the Rfam family "Bacterial small subunit ribosomal RNA", at positions 524 to 776 of the family's 1533-position model. The record is from RNAcentral.